ACGUUAAUAUAUUAGAAAAAUUACUCUUUACCCGAAAUUUGAAUCUAACUGGGCACCCUGCAUUUUCAUUUGCUAACCCUAGUUUUGUUUGGCAACCCUAGUUUGGAUAGGCUCUGGAUGUUUCUCAAGCACGAUGUAGGGAGAGGAGAGGAGAUGGGGUCCCUAUAUCUCUCAGAAGGCCCUAUAUCUCUCAGAAUGAGUAACAAAAUUCUGAGUCAAUGUGCAUGGUCAGUGAAGAAAUUUAUCAUUGCUCAUAGCAAGGAGUCCAGGGCCAGGCAGGCUCCCGCCUCAGGCUCUGGAGCUCCAGCUCCACCCACCCUGAGGCUCUCUCAGCUCUGCCCUGGGAUGCCCAUCCCCAGGGUGCAGCAACCAGCUGUGGGUGUGAUGGCCCAGCCUCCCUGCAAGGAGCCCUGUCUCUGUGGUCCUCCUGCAGGCUGUGCAGAGAGGAGCGGGUGGGGUACCUGAACAACUUGGGAUCUCCACCUCUGAAGGAGGGAGGAGGUUGAGAUGAUGCAUGCCCUUCCCCUCGGAGUGGGCUUUGGUAGGGGUGGUGAGCUCUAAGAUCGCCCUCUACUCCAUGGAAGCUUCCAGGACGAACCAGUGCCUGCAGACAUGUGUCUUCCUUUCCUAGUCAAUGUUUCCCUGAGCAUCCCUGGGCUGCCACUUUCAGAUUCCAUGCACUGAAGGACCCUCCACAAAUGUCUCCCUGCUUCGGGUGCUCACCCCUGCCACCCUACCGGGAUUGACCCGUGUUCCCCUGUCUCCAUCAUCCGCUGGGGGCACUUCUUCUCCACAGGGCCUGGUAAUGGAAUUGAAGAAAUCUGAAUGAAUUGUCUGAUGCAUCAUGACUAAGCUUAGAAUGUGCCAAGUGUCUCCCAGGAGUGGCCCUUGGACAGCAGGGCUGGAGUGCUGGGACUCUGUGAGCAGGAAGGAGGCCGUGCUCAGGGAGAGCCACCGACUGAGCCGCUCAGGAGUUCUGGAAGUGCUUGGAGGGUGUGGGCAGUUGUCAAAUGAAUUUGUGGCACCAGCCCCUUGGCUUUCUGGUGAAGGGGUAGUGGCACAGUCUGUCGUCGUGCCUCUGGUGGUAGAUGGGCAACUCAGUCCACACAACCUCCUUCAUAAAGCCUUGGAUACUCCCAAGCUUUACGGAUCUCAUUUUGACUUCCCAGGAAGCUCCAUAUAUUGGUCUUUGUGAAUUUUAUGGAGCAUUGCAGGAUAAUUUUCAUUUUUUUUCCAUGAACACUCCAUUUCAAGUAUGUUCAGGAAGGCUUUCAUCAUCUCUUUUGGGCCUCCACUUCCCUCCCACCUCCUUCCUACAUCUGUUCCUCUCUAGGGUGAAUAGUUUCAAUUUUAUCAACGUUUCUUCCUGUGGCUGUAUGUGUAGGUCCUUUUCCCAUGCUGAUCACCAAAUAUAAGAUUUAUUUAUAUCCUACCCAACAUGUACUCUUUAAAAUUCAGGUGCCCGUAAGAAUGAUAGUAGCUAAGAGCUUUUAUUGAGCUCAAACGCUGUCCACAUGCUUCAUGUUCAUUUUCCCUUUUAAUGUCACAAUGACCUUUUGAAAUCGAUAUUAUUGUUACCUCCCACUUUGUCAAUGAGGACACUGAGAUUCAGGAAGGUUAAGUACCUCUCUUGCUCAAAGGUACACAGCAAAUGAGGAGGAGAGCUGGGAUGAGACCUAGGAAUCUAGGCUCCGAGCCCCUCCACCCUGCUACUCAAAGUACGGCCCAGAGACCAGUGGCUCAGGCAGCCACCGGGGCCUUGUGAGAACUGCUGACUCUCAGGCCCACAUCCAGACGUCCCGGAUCAGGAGGCCAGUUGGUUCACGUACAUGCUCAAGUUGGAGCAGCUCUGGUCUAGUCUCCCUGGAAGGACAUGCACCCCUUUACUUUCACUGAUGCUGCCUUGGAGCAUGUUAGAUUCCGGUGUCACAGCCCCUUCUCUCCACCCUGAGUUGGUGCUGUCCUCAGGCUCAUCUCUGUCCUGCACUGGCCCUUCCUGCAGAAGGCACAUUUGUCAGAAUGAUAGUAUGAUGGUUAAUUUUAUGAGUCAACUUGGCAAGGCCAUGGUACUUAGACAUUUGGUAAGCAUUACUCUAGAUAUUUCUAUGAUGGUAUUUUUUAGAUGAGAUUAACAUUUAAAUCAGUGGACUGAGUAAAACAGAUUACUGUCGUUAAUGUGGGUGGGUCUCCCUCAAUCAGUUGAAGGCCUUAAUAGAAAAAAAUCAAAACAAAACUGACCUUCCCCUUAAUAGAAAAAGACUGAAGAAGAAGCAUUUCUGCUGGAAAACUGCAUUUGGACUUGAACUGCAACUCUUCCCUGGAUCUCCAACCUGCCAGCCUAUCACAUUCAUCACCUCCCAUUGGCUGAAACCAUCUGGAAGCCAGACACCAAGGAAACCUUGUUGAUGCAUUUCAUUGAGUUUGGCCUCCCUGGACACAGAGCAGAGCAGAAAAAGGUGGAGGGAGGCUCUGGAGGGGCAACUGGAGAGUAGCCAGCACUUCAUACUGAUGCCUCAACUCCACCUGCUCCAGAAGACAGAGCGUCUGUACUCUUCAGGAGUUUGUAAGUCCAGAUAGAGGGCCAGGAGUGAACAGGUAACCAAUAGUUCAAGACUGAAACCCCUGUGAGGAGCAGAGAGGAUUGGUCCCCAGGCUGGAUGUGCAUCCGCCCCAGGGAAUGGGACUCUUAGGGAGUUGUUCUCCUAGGUAGGGCUUGUCGCUCUCUGUACCUGUGGAGAGAAUAGGAUUCUCUCAAUGCCAUUAAACUGAACAAGCAUUUAUUGAGUGUGUACUGUUUGGAAGGUGUUGGGUCUCUAAAGAUGCAUAGGCGUAACCUACCUCUGCCUCUGAGAGAUUCGGAGAGGCAUAUAGGUGACCAGAAAACAUCAUUUUUCUGCAUGAAGUUUGGGGGAGGCACAUGUGCUUCUUGGUUUACCAGUUGACAAGGUGAAAUUUCCACGGUGGGUGUUGAGUGUGUGCAUGGACUUGGGCAUGGCUUCUAAGAUAAAGGAGUUUUAAACCUCUGUCUUCUGCCCUGCCAUCUCCGCCACUUUCUAGUUAUAAGAGGAAUGGCAAACUGUGGCCAUUAUGUGAGCCAUCAGGGUCUGGGGACUUGCCGGGGUAGACAUUUUCCUGUUGGCUCUGAAUGAAGACAUCAUCCAGUGGCUACUCUGAGAGUAUGCGGAGUGGGCAUGGGUGAUGGUAGAGACUCCCAAGUGUCUCAGGGACAGGCAUUAUAGGAUGAUGGCUCUUUCCUUAUUGGGGUUGGGGGGCGGGUCUGUGAGCGAACACUAAAGACUAGAGCUUCCAAAUCCUACAACUCUGCCUUGAUGGUAUAAUAGUGAAAAUAGCUAAAAUAUAUUGCCAGGCACUGUGUUAACUGCUCUGCAAGCAUUCUCUCGAUAUAUUCUUACAAUGAUCUUAAGAAGUAGGUACUAGGAGCAAACGGAAGCUAUGAAGGAUUAAGGGACUUACCCAGGGUCACACAGUUGGUACAUGGCAGAGCCCGAAUUCCACUCAUCCCUGUGUGCCUGUGGAAUGUUACCUGGGUGUGGAGGUGCUGAGAACGGUGUUGGACUUCGGAAAACAGUUUGGCUCUUGAACCAUUUUCUGCAUUGUUCUCUGCUUAGGAGGGUUGGAACCUCUUGUUCUGAGCAUGCGAAGGACUCACUGACCUUUCCUGAUGCUCCGCUGGGCCCAGGUUCUCCUCUGAAUGACAGAGGUUCUAGGGACCAAGAACACAAUACAAAGCUUCACCUCCCAGGCCUCCCUCCCCACCUGACUGGCCAGCUCUCCUUCCUGUCUUCCCAUAAGGCCAGAGAAGGCAUCAGACGGCAAGCAGUAUUGAAGUGAGACGUGACGGGAGAGAAGGCAUUCAUCCUUCAAAGCUCAGACACCCUUCCCUGGAAUGCGCCCCUGUUGUUAGUCUUUGCUCUUGGUUGACCUGCUUUGGUAGGAAGCAGGAUGUGCUCCACUCAGCUCACUGGUUCACAUUCUACUCCACUGGGUGUGGUAUCCACCGGGCUGUUGACCAGGGGUUCAUUUAGUCACUCAUAAUAUGUGAGGACUCCACAGUUCACAAAACCUGUUCAUGUUCAUUUGAUCUUCACAACAGCCUCACAAGGAAGGAACUCACAUCGUUCCUAGUUUAGAAAGGAAGAAACUGAGGCUCAGGUGUCUCUAAGCCAAGAUGAGUCUGGCGGUUUAUUUCACCAGCGCUGGUGGAGCCCCUGUCAGCCCCAUGCCCUGCUGAGCAAGCUGCCUGGACAAACGUGGGGCCUGGGCACAGAGGGCAGACAUUUCCCAGUCUGCUGCUUCUGUCUUCAGGAGUCAAGCCAUUUCCUGAGUACCAACUCUGAACUAGGCAUUCUGGUGGGUGUGAGAACUCAGUUACAUCAUUCUUGACUUCUAAGAGCUUGCAGUUUCCGUGGAGAGAUGAGAAUUUUGGGUGUAAGAGUAACCAAUGCCACUAGGCCAAAUCAAGUUGGCUUGGGAGAAAUAAAACAAUUUAAGAGGCCAGCUGGCCUCAGCUGCAAAUGGUCCUUAGUGGAGGUGGGACCUGUGCUGUUUUCUACAGGAAGAGCAGUUCAUGUUCGGGUAGGGAGGACAUGGAACAGUAUUCUAAGAGGAAGACCGUGCUGAGGGCCUGGAAGGAAGACAGCAGGAAACUGGAGACAGGGAGGCCAGUUUGUUGUAGACCAGGGGAGGAGAGAAAGGCAGCAUGGGUCUUUGUACAGGAGAAAAGAGAGAUGUAUUAAGUUCCAGAGGGAGCUCUUGAGCUGGGUCCUGCUGGGGGAGAAAGAAGACUGGGACAGUGGGUGUCAUUUACCCCCAGGGCCUUGGCCUCAGCUUCAGGCUGUGUUGUCCUGAGAGUACAGCUACCUUUUCCCCAUGUGCUUUAGGAUUACCUCAGACUCCUUUUGCCAUGGGGGAAGGAUACCCAAGGAUCUGGGUCAGGCAGCAUGAACACAUACCCAGGGGCUGCACAAGCAGCCCUCCACUGACCGCUCUCAGCUCACCUCCUACCAUAUCUCCUAUUACUGACCACUUCAUUCACAAAGCCCCUGCCACACUGGCCUUCGCCUAUUCAUCCAGCAUAUUGAUAUC
Cebus imitator (Panamanian white-faced capuchin) is the source of this 5106-nucleotide long non-coding RNA. RefSeq lists it as uncharacterized. The transcript is spliced from 3 exons. The record is from RefSeq and is a predicted model, not a curated record. NCBI's taxonomy places the organism in Eukaryota, Metazoa, Chordata, Mammalia, Primates, Cebidae.